CCUACGGGGGGCUGCAGUGGGGAAUAUUGGACAAUGGGCGCAAGCCUGAUCCAGCAAUGCCGCGUGUGUGAAGAAGGCCUUCGGGUUGUAAAGCACUUUUAUCAGGAACGAAAAGCGUUGGAUUAAUACUCUGACGUGCUGACGGUACCUGAGGAAUAAGCACCGGCUAACUUCGUGCCAGCAGCCGCGUUAAUCCGAAGGGUGCAAGCGUUAAUCGGAAUUCCUGGGCGUAAAGCGUGCGUAGAUGGUUCGCUAAGUCGGAUGUGAAAGCCCCGGGCUCAACCUGGGAACUGCAUCCGAUACUGGUGGACUAGAGUGUGAUAGAGGAUGGCGGAAUUCCCGGUGUAGCGGUGAAAUGCGUAGAGAUCGGGAGGAACAUCCGUGGCGAAGGCGGCCAUCUGGAUCAACACUGACGUUGAGGCACGAAAGCGUGGGGAGCAAACAGGAUUAGAUACCCUAGUAGUC
Molecule: ribosomal RNA, 465 nt
Filed under: uncultured Lysobacteraceae bacterium
Lineage: Bacteria; Pseudomonadati; Pseudomonadota; Gammaproteobacteria; Lysobacterales; Lysobacteraceae
Description: bacterial SSU rRNA
Rfam family: Bacterial small subunit ribosomal RNA
Source: RNAcentral